RNAcentral lists this ribosomal RNA (253 nucleotides) under uncultured bacterium. RNAcentral's name for it is "partial 16S ribosomal RNA". It matches the Rfam family "Bacterial small subunit ribosomal RNA", at positions 524 to 776 of the family's 1533-position model. The record is from RNAcentral.
UACGAAGGGGGCUAGCGUUGUUCGGAAUCACUGGGCGUAAAGAGCGCGUAGGCGGCCGAUCAAGUCGGGGGUGAAAGCCUGUGGCUCAACCACAGAAUUGCCUUCGAUACUGGUUGGCUUGAGACCGGAAGAGGUAAGUGGAACUGCGAGUGUAGAGGUGAAAUUCGUAGAUAUUCGCAAGAACACCAGUGGCGUAGGCGGCUUACUGGUCCGGUUCUGACGCUGAGGCGCGAAAGCGUGGGGAGCAAACAGG